Long non-coding RNA from Zeugodacus cucurbitae (melon fly), 263 nucleotides. RefSeq lists it as uncharacterized. The record is from RefSeq and is a predicted model, not a curated record. Lineage: Eukaryota; Metazoa; Arthropoda; Insecta; Diptera; Tephritidae. The transcript is spliced from 2 exons.
GUUGUCGCCAUGGAUAAUAUGAUACGAAACUCUUCUCUUUUGCUUGUUGAGAGAGCCCAUGAACUCAUUUUUGAUGUUGGCAACAAAGCCAGAUCAUGGGCUACUGAACAGCUGACAGUCAAAAUGACGAGCUACCACUAAGAAUCCCGCAGAAAUAAAUGAUUAAAUGUGGCACCACUGCCAAAUGUUAUAAAAAAUGCGGACUUUGACAGCUCUCUCACGAAUGAAAGAGUUUCGUAUCAUGUUAUCUUUGGUUGUCGCAC